This 652-nucleotide unclassified non-coding RNA is filed under the name Spongia cf. irregularis AG-2019. RNAcentral's name for it is "sequence contains ITS1, 5.8S rRNA gene, ITS2". The stretch from base 278 to 432 matches the Rfam family "5.8S ribosomal RNA". The record is from RNAcentral. Lineage: Eukaryota; Metazoa; Porifera; Demospongiae; Dictyoceratida; Spongiidae.
CGUAGGUGAACCUGCGGAAGGAUCAUUAACAAAUCCUAGCCGUUGUUGCCUCGGUGUGGCGCAACGGUGAAACACCGUGCACUGGCAGCUGAAGAUGGGGGAGUCCGUCAGAGGUGUGCUGCCGGCAUUAAAUUGGAUGCUGCACUCAAAUCGGUGGGAAUCAGUGUUGCACCGCCCGCCGGGCCUCAAAGGCACAUCUCUCAUCUUUGGUUUUUCUUGUGACCUUUUUCGUACUUAGUGUUAUUUUGGUGUAAUGCGUUGGUUGGAAAAUUUUGACAACUUCUGACGGUGGAUCUCUUGGCUCGUGCAUCGAUGAAGAACGCAGCAAGCUGCGAUACCUAGUGUGAAUUGCAGAAUUCAGUGAAUCAUCGAGUCUUUGAACGCAAAUGGCGCUCCCGGGGUCUCCUCGGGAGCAGGUCUGUCCGAGCGUCUGCCACCUGAAAGUGUUGUCGUCCACGCGACGACAAGAUUGAGGAGAUGCAUCGCCGACCCGCCCGGGUCAUGUUGCACUCCUUGAAGAAUACACGGCAUUGCGGACGGUGCACCGUGACCGAGCUCCGGUGAGACAAUCGUCGCAACGGCAUAAACGGUUGCGUCAUUGCAUCUCAUCGGUGCCGGCUCCGGUCCACGGCCGCAAACCAUCUCAGGAAUG